This 246-nucleotide ribosomal RNA is filed under the name uncultured bacterium. RNAcentral's name for it is "partial small subunit ribosomal RNA". It matches the Rfam family "Bacterial small subunit ribosomal RNA", at positions 26 to 285 of the family's 1533-position model. The record is from RNAcentral.
AGAAUCAACGCUGGCGGCGUGCCUAACACAUGCAAGUCGAACGAGAAAGUGGAGCAAUCCACGAGUACAGUGGCGCACGGGUGAGUAACACGUGACUAACCUACCCUUGAGUGGGGAAUAACCUAGGAGAAAUCUAGGCUAAUACCGCAUAACACCUACGGGUCAAAGGAGCAAUUCGCUUAAGGAGGGGGUCGCGGCAGAUUAGCUAGUUGGCGGGGUAAUGGCCCACCAAGGCAGUGAUCUGUA